GUGAAGUCUGGCCUGCCCACUGAAGUUUUAAAGGGCCGCGGUAAUUUGACCGUGCGAAGGUAGCAUAGUCAGUAGUCUUUUAAUUGUGGACUAGAAUGAAUGGUUGGACGAGAAGUAAGCUGUCUUUGGUGUGAGUAUUGAAUUUUACUUUUAAGUGAAAAGGCUUAAAUGAUUUUAAGGGACGAUAAGACCCUAUAAAACUUAACAAGACUUUCUUGUUUCUUAAAUUAUUGUUUAAUUGGAGUUCGAGAGGUAUUUGUUUGGUUGGGGCGAAUAAGAUAAAAUAUAAAAGUAACUGUCUUAAAAUUAAAAUAAUUAUAAUUUGGGUAUUUGACCCUUUAUUAAGGAUUACAAGAGUAAGUUACUUUAGGGAUAACAGCGUAAAUUUUUUUUAGAGUUCUUAUCGACAAAAGUAGUUGCGACCUCGAUGUUGAAUUAAAAUUUAUUUUAAAUGUAGCAGUUUAAAACAGUGGGUCUGUUCGACCUU
RNAcentral lists this ribosomal RNA (487 nucleotides) under Chorismus antarcticus. RNAcentral's name for it is "partial 16S ribosomal RNA". It matches the Rfam family "Bacterial large subunit ribosomal RNA", at positions 1847 to 2588 of the family's 2925-position model. Lineage: Eukaryota; Metazoa; Arthropoda; Malacostraca; Decapoda; Hippolytidae. The record is from RNAcentral.